RNAcentral lists this microRNA precursor (98 nucleotides) under Populus trichocarpa (black cottonwood). Its description in RNAcentral is "miR6426b stem-loop (ptc-MIR6426b)". The stretch from base 8 to 91 matches the Rfam family "MIR6426 microRNA precursor family". The record is from miRBase by way of RNAcentral. Lineage: Eukaryota; Viridiplantae; Streptophyta; Magnoliopsida; Malpighiales; Salicaceae.
CGCGUUUUUUCUUCUUCUUCUUCUGCACUUCCAUGUCUCUAUUGUUCACGUGAACAGUGGAGACAUGGAAGUGAAGAAGAAGAAGAAGAAGGAGAAUG